GAUGAACGCUGGCGGCGUGCUUAACACAUGCAAGUCGAACGGGAUCCCAGGGGUGCUUGCCCUUUUUGGUGAGAGUGGCGAACGGGUGAGUAACACGGGAGUAACCUGUCCUUUUCUUUGGGAUAAGCAUUCGAAAGGGUGUUUAAUACCUUAUGUUCUGUCUGCCUCGCAUGGGGUGGGUGGGAAAGGCUUUGGCCGGAUUUGGGUGGGCUCGCGGUCUAUCAGCUUGUUGGUGGGGUGAUGGCUUACCAAGGCUUUGACGGGUAGCCGGCCUGAGAGGGUGGUCGGUCACAUUGGGACUGAGAUACGGCCCAGACUCCUGCGGGAGGCAGCAGUGGGGGAUAUUGCACAAUGGGCGAAAGCCUGAUGCAGCGACGCCGCGUGGGGGAUGAAGGCCUGCGGGUUGUAAACUUCUUUUGCUCUGAACAAGGCAUGCCAGUGGGUGUGUUGAGUGUAGGGGUUGAUUAGCGCCGGCUAACUACGUG
This 485-nucleotide ribosomal RNA is filed under the name uncultured bacterium. Its description in RNAcentral is "partial 16S ribosomal RNA". It matches the Rfam family "Bacterial small subunit ribosomal RNA", at positions 28 to 507 of the family's 1533-position model. The record is from RNAcentral.